UGGAUUGUAGCUCAGGGAUAGAGUGUUUGCCUAGCAUGUAUGAGGCCCUGGGUUUAAUUCUCAGCAUUACAG
Molecule: transfer RNA, 72 nt
Filed under: Ictidomys tridecemlineatus (thirteen-lined ground squirrel)
Lineage: Eukaryota; Metazoa; Chordata; Mammalia; Rodentia; Sciuridae
Description: Spermophilus tridecemlineatus (thirteen-lined ground squirrel) tRNA
Rfam family: tRNA
About the family: Transfer RNA (tRNA) molecules are approximately 80 nucleotides in length.
Source: Rfam by way of RNAcentral